This 460-nucleotide ribosomal RNA is filed under the name uncultured bacterium. RNAcentral describes it as "partial 16S ribosomal RNA". It matches the Rfam family "Bacterial small subunit ribosomal RNA", at positions 338 to 795 of the family's 1533-position model. The record is from RNAcentral.
CCUACGGGAGGCAGCAGUGAGGAAUAUUGGUCAAUGGACGAGAGUCUGAACCAGCCAAGUAGCGUGAAGGAUGACUGCCCUAUGGGUUGUAAACUUCUUUUAUAUGGGAAUAAAAUGUUCCACGUGUGGGAUUUUGUAUGUACCAUAUGAAUAAGGAUCGGCUAACUCCGUGCCAGCAGCCGCGGUAAUACGGAGGAUCCGAGCGUUAUCCGGAUUUAUUGGGUUUAAAGGGAGCGUAGGUGGAUUGUUAAGUCAGUUGUGAAAGUUUGCGGCUCAACCGUAAAAGUGCAGUUGAAACUGGCAGUCGUGAGUACAGUAGAGGUGGGCGGAAUUCGUGGUGUAGCGGUGAAAUGCUUAGAUAUCACGAAGAACUCCGAUUGCGAAGGCAGCUCACUGGACUGCAACUGACACUGAGGCUCGAAAGUGUGGGUAUCAAACAGGAUUAGAUACCCCAGUAGUC